AUUGAACGCUGGUGGCAGGCUUAACACAUGCAAGUCGAGCGGGGUGAUGGUGCUUGCACUAUCACUUAGCGGCGGACGGGUGAGUAAUGCUUAGGAAUCUGCCUAUUAGUGGGGGACAACAUCUCGAAAGGGAUGCUAAUACCGCAUACGUCCUACGGGAGAAAGCAGGGGAUCACUUGUGACCUUGCGCUAAUAGAUGAGCCUAAGUCGGAUUAGCUAGUUGGUGGGGUAAAGGCCUUCCAAGGCGACGAUCUGUAGCGGGUCUGAGAGGAUGAUCCGCCACACUGGGACUGAGACACGGCCCAGACUCCUACGGGAGGCAGCAGUGGGGAAUAUUGGACAAUGGGCGGAAGCCUGAUCCAGCCAUGCCGCGUGUGUGAAGAAGGCCUUUUGGUUGUAAAGCACUUUAAGCGAGGAGGAGGCUACUUAGAUUAAUACUCUGGGAUAGUGGACGUUACUCGCAGAAUAAGCACCGGCUAACUCUGUGCCAGCCGCCGCCGUAA
RNAcentral lists this ribosomal RNA (503 nucleotides) under uncultured bacterium. RNAcentral describes it as "partial 16S ribosomal RNA". It matches the Rfam family "Bacterial small subunit ribosomal RNA", at positions 30 to 523 of the family's 1533-position model. The record is from RNAcentral.